Molecule: ribosomal RNA, 527 nt
Filed under: uncultured bacterium
Lineage: Bacteria
Description: bacterial SSU rRNA
Rfam family: Bacterial small subunit ribosomal RNA
Source: RNAcentral
UAGUCCACGCCGUAAACGAUGGAUACUAGGUGUCCGGGAAGUUAACCUCCUGGGUACUACAGCUAACGCGUUAAGUAUCCCGCCUGGGGAGUACGGUCGCAAGGCUAAAACUCAAAGGAAUUGACGGGGGCCCGCACAAGCGGUGGAGUAUGUGGUUUAAUUCGAAGCAACGCGCAGAACCUUACCUACCCUUAACAUUUCACGCUCGCCUCAGAGAUGAGGUUUUCUCUUCGGAGACGUGAGGAUAGGUGCUGCAUGGCUGUCGUCAGCUCGUGUCGUAAGAUGUCUGGUUAAGUCCAAUAACGAGCGCAACCCUUAUCCUUAGUUACCAGCAUUGAGUUGGGCACUCUAUGGAAACUGCCCGUGAUAAGCGGGAGGAAGGUGUGGAUGACGUCAAGUCCUCAUGGCCCUUACGGGUUGGGCUACACACGUUGCUACAAUGGUGGUGACAGUGGGUUAAUCUCCAAAAACCAUCUCAGUUCGGAUUGGGGUCUGCAACUCGACCCCAUGAAGUCGGAAUCGCUAGU